This 403-nucleotide ribosomal RNA is filed under the name Bradyrhizobiaceae bacterium Ellin7192. Its description in RNAcentral is "bacterial SSU rRNA". It matches the Rfam family "Bacterial small subunit ribosomal RNA", at positions 29 to 457 of the family's 1533-position model. Lineage: Bacteria; Pseudomonadati; Pseudomonadota; Alphaproteobacteria; Hyphomicrobiales; Nitrobacteraceae. The record is from RNAcentral.
AGCGAACGCUGGCGGCAGGCUUAACACAUGCAAGUCGAGCGGAUGUAGCAAUACAUCAGCGGCAGACGGGUGAGUAACACGUGGGAACGUACCUUUUGGUUCGGAACAACACAGGGAAACUUGUGCUAAUACCGGAUAAGCCCUUACGGGGAAAGAUUUAUCGCCGAAAGAUCGGCCCGCGUCUGAUUAGCUAGUUGGUGAGGUAAUGGCUCACCAAGGCGACGAUCAGUAGCUGGUCUGAGAGGAUGAUCAGCCACAUUGGGACUGAGACACGGCCCAAACUCCUACGGGAGGCAGCAGUGGGGAAUAUUGGACAAUGGGCGCAAGCCUGAUCCAGCCAUGCCGCGUGAGUGAUGAAGGCCCUAGGGUCGUAAAGCUCUUUUGUGCGGGAAGAUAAUGACAG